GAGGGGCUCGCUCCGCCCGAGGAGGCCGCCAGCAGCUGGGUGAGGCUGUGCCGCAUGGCGGCCGACGGACGGAGGAGGGGGCGGCGGCGGCGGCGGCCGCGGGGCCCCAGGAGAGCGGCGCGGAGCGGCGGUGCCGCGGGCUCUCACAGGGUGUCUCCAGGCCUUCUGUCAGAUCUUCUGCAUCUUUGCCCGUCUCCGCGUCACUUGUGUGGUUGGCCAUCACUGCCUCUCUCUCCUCGUGGGCCCUGAAGACUCUGUCACACACAAAGAUGAAACAACAUUUCAUAGGGACCGAUUCUCUUAGUGACAUUCGUCAGAUUUAAGUGUUCCCAGCACUGCACUAAGCUGGUGGACAGGGAAUCUCAAAACCAAGAGCAGCCCUGCAGCCCUCCCUGCCUCUGGAGACCUCACGAUGCAGACUGAAGAGAAGGACCAGACCCCACGAUGCAAAAGCAAAGAACUGUAGGCGUGGUAUUGACAUAAGCCUAUUCAUUUGCCAAUUACUAGCUUUGGUAAUUAUUCCUUCUUAAAGCACUGUUUGUUUGAGCUACAAGAAGUACUAUUACAUUUAGGUAAAAAGCCAGUAAAUGAUAAAAGUGUAAAUAAUUCCUUAUCAAUCCUUUUCCUCUGCUUUUAUUUUCUCCUGCAGAUACAGAAUUAUAAAUGUAAGUAGAGCACAGAGGGUCAGAUCAAUCCUCAAACUGAUUUUGAUACUAUAUUACUCAUUAAAAAUAGCUGAAUAGCCUUACACUGUGCUUAGAGAUUCAUGAAUUAAAAAAAAAAAACAUCUA
Molecule: long non-coding RNA, 791 nt
Organism: Numida meleagris (helmeted guineafowl)
Lineage: Eukaryota; Metazoa; Chordata; Aves; Galliformes; Numididae
Exons: 2
Source: RefSeq, a predicted model, not a curated record